AGCCAUGAAAAUGACCUUGUGCAAUAACUAGAAGACAUAGAACAAGGCACAAGUAGGGAUGAGCACACUGGCCAUUAAACUCGCUGCUUUCUUUGAGUUUGUGGCGCUUGAGGUUUUGUUAGAUCCUGCACUUCCUGCAUCGAAUUGGAUCAGCCCAGUCAGGUGGUGGACUUGGUUCAUCCUCGUUUGUCUCUGCUGGCUCAUCAGCUAAUGUAGGUGUAUCUGGUGCUGGAGGUGGAGUUGGGACGGCUGAAACAAAUCAUCCACACAUUCUGACACCAGGGAGCUCCAGCGCCCUCGUGUGGUUGAUGGAGAUGCCGAAGGACGCCGCGCUGCCAUCCAGGACCAUGCAGAGGCACCGGGGGUCGGACUGGACGACGCCAGCGAGCGUGGUGCAGCAGGUGAACUCGGGGAUCGGCGAUUUGCCGGAGAUGUAAUCCAGGCACGGGGAGAGCGUCAUCAUCACGCUGGAGCAGCCAUUGUUCUGCGAUGCGGCACGGGAAGCAAGCAUUGUCAUCACCACCACAAUCACCGCCACCACUGGAGCCCGUGGGACGCCGGUCUGCGACUUUCUUGCAGCCAUUGUCAGCUGCCGAUCGAUGGUCCCUCCCUCCUUCCCUCCCUCCUCCUCGACGACGAACAAUACAAUGCCGGUCAAAUCAAGAACUGAUUGAUGUAUGUCUCUCAGAAAAAAAAAAGAGUAAAAAUGCUUUUGGGGCAUCAGGUGAGAAUGGUUUGUGAGGAUGUUGAUGGAGGAUGAGAUCGUUGUAUGCUGCAGCCACUCGUGCCGGAAUUGAAGGAAUGCUGUGCCGGGAAAGUGCAGGGAUGUGUUCUUCCUGGCCACACAGUUGUCUGGCCAUAGUGCUAAUGAACAUGUAUGCCAUUUUACUGCAGUCCUCUAUUUAUGGAAAGAAUUUGAUGCAUAUGCAGAAAUUUAGGGGGUGUUUUGGUCUGGUUUUGCUCCAAUUUGGGCACAGCCUUACCCUUUUCUCU
Molecule: non-coding RNA, 993 nt
Organism: Oryza sativa Japonica Group (Japanese rice)
Lineage: Eukaryota; Viridiplantae; Streptophyta; Magnoliopsida; Poales; Poaceae
Source: RefSeq, a predicted model, not a curated record